RNAcentral lists this ribosomal RNA (224 nucleotides) under uncultured bacterium. Its description in RNAcentral is "partial 16S ribosomal RNA". It matches the Rfam family "Bacterial small subunit ribosomal RNA", at positions 524 to 744 of the family's 1533-position model. The record is from RNAcentral.
UACGUAGGGUGCAAGCGUUUGUCCGGAAUUAUUGGGCGUAAAGAGCUCGUAGGCGGUUUGUUGCGUCGGCUGUGAAAUCCCGAGGCUCAACCUCGGGUCUGCAGUCGAUACGAGCAAACUAGAGUGUUGCAGGGGGAGACUGGAAUUCCUGGUGUAGCGGUGAAAUGCGCAGAUAGUCAGGAGGAACACCGGUGGCGAAAGGCGGGGUCUCUUGGGGCAACAAC